RNAcentral lists this ribosomal RNA (466 nucleotides) under uncultured bacterium. Its description in RNAcentral is "partial 16S ribosomal RNA". It matches the Rfam family "Bacterial small subunit ribosomal RNA", at positions 28 to 507 of the family's 1533-position model. The record is from RNAcentral.
GAUGAACGCUGGCGGCGUGCUUAACACAUGCAAGUCGAACGAUGAAGCCCAGCUUGCUGGGUGGAUUAGUGGCGAACGGGUGAGUAACACGUGAGUAACCUGCCCUUAACUCUGGGAUAAGCCUGGGAAACUGGGUCUAAUACCGGAUAGGAGCGUCCACCGCAUGGUGGGUGUUGGAAAGAUUUAUCGGUUUUGGAUGGACUCGCGGCCUAUCAGCUUGUUGGUGAGGUAAUGGCUCACCAAGGCGACGACGGGUAGCCGGCCUGAGAGGGUGACCGGCCACACUGGUACUGAGACACGGCCCAGACUCCUACGGGAGGCAGCAGUGGGGAAUAUUGCGCAAUGGACGCAAGCCUGAUGCAGCGACGCCGCGUGAGGGAUAACGGCCUUCGGGUUGUAAACCUCUUUCAGUAGGGAAGAAGCGAAAGUGACGGUACCUGCAGAAGAAGCACCGGCUAACUACGUG